RNAcentral lists this ribosomal RNA (345 nucleotides) under Salmonella enterica subsp. enterica serovar Typhi. RNAcentral's name for it is "partial 23S ribosomal RNA". It matches the Rfam family "Bacterial large subunit ribosomal RNA", at positions 1 to 382 of the family's 2925-position model. The record is from RNAcentral. Lineage: Bacteria; Pseudomonadati; Pseudomonadota; Gammaproteobacteria; Enterobacterales; Enterobacteriaceae.
GGUUAAGCGACUAAGCGUACACGGUGGAUGCCCUGGCAGUCAGAGGCGAUGAAGGGCGUGCUAAUCUGCGAUAAGCGCCGGUAAGGUGAUAUGAACCGUUAUAACCGGCGAUACCCGAAUGGGGAAACCCAGUGUGAUUCGUCACACUAUCAUUAACUGAAUCCAUAGGUUAAUGAGGCGAACCGGGGGAACUGAAACAUCUAAGUACCCCGAGGAAAAGAAAUCAACCGAGAUUCCCCCAGUAGCGGCGAGCGAACGGGGAGGAGCCCAGAGCCUGAAUCAGCAUGUGUGUUAGUGGAAGCGUCUGGAAAGGCGCGCGAUACAGGGUGACAGCCCCGUACACAA